AGGAAUGUCACUGUCUGUGCUGAAGGUGGACGACUACAUUUUGGAUGCACUUGACUCUGCAACCCAGGCGCCAGCGUGGCCUGCUGGAGUUGCUGGUAUAGAACAGAAACCGACUGUCAAUUUGUCAACCUCAUUGUGUCAUAAAAUGCGGUCAUGGGCGAUCCGUAGUUAUGACUGGCUUCUCCCGAGUACAAAAUUAUCCUGAUAGAUGAAAAAGCUUACGCUUUCAGAACUUUUUCGAGGGUUUAAAGUGAUAGUUUUCGCAUAGAUUUAUACAAGUUACCAUUAACUGGAGUUUCGCCCAUGAGUUGAUCUAAGAUUCUCAUGUUAAGGAAAGCGAAUGUAUUAUAUGAUCCUUUUCAGGUUUCCAUUAAAGGCUUAAGAUACCACAAGCUACAAGUUUGACUUAUCCUUCCUCUUUUUGAUGGUAUCUUCAGGACCCCGUCCGUCGACAACUUUGCCCGUUGCCCUUCCACCUGCACCGGCAAACCUCAUUCCGGUACUUAGCUCACAGAACCUUUCGUUAUCUGUAGGCACAUGUAGGAAAGCUGAGGUUCCCUACCCAAGUUUGGGUUUUGAGAGACUUGUGUACAAACUUUCUUACAUUAAAAGAAAAAUAGAAAAAAAAAAAGAAAAAA
This 638-nucleotide long non-coding RNA is filed under the name Physcomitrium patens. Its description in RNAcentral is "long non-coding RNA (PPAT_LNC002348)". Lineage: Eukaryota; Viridiplantae; Streptophyta; Bryopsida; Funariales; Funariaceae. The record is from RNAcentral.